AACCAAAUUAAAUGUUGCUAUUUUCCGGA
Molecule: non-coding RNA, 29 nt
Filed under: Bombyx mori (domestic silkworm)
Lineage: Eukaryota; Metazoa; Arthropoda; Insecta; Lepidoptera; Bombycidae
Source: RNAcentral